RNAcentral lists this ribosomal RNA (435 nucleotides) under uncultured Taibaiella sp. RNAcentral describes it as "bacterial SSU rRNA". It matches the Rfam family "Bacterial small subunit ribosomal RNA", at positions 358 to 790 of the family's 1533-position model. The record is from RNAcentral. Lineage: Bacteria; Pseudomonadati; Bacteroidota; Chitinophagia; Chitinophagales; Chitinophagaceae.
GGAAUAUUGGUCAAUGGACGGAAGUCUGAACCAGCCAUGCCGCGUGAAGGAUGAAGGCGUUCUGCGUUGUAAACUUCUUUUAUUGGGGAAGAAACCACAGAUUUCUAUUUGUGUUGACGGUAUCCAAUGAAUAAGCACCGGCUAACUCCGUGCCAGCAGCCGCGGUAAUACGGAGGGUGCGAGCGUUAUCCGGAUUUACUGGGUUUAAAGGGUGCGCAGGCGGCCUAUUAAGUCCGGGGUGAAAUCCCACAGCUCAACUGUGGAACUGCCUUGGAUACUAUUAGGCUUGAAUUAAGUAGAGGUCAGCGGAAUACAACAUGUAGCGGUGAAAUGCAUAGAUAUGUUGUGGAACACCGAUUGCGAAGGCAGCUGACUGGGCUUAUAUUGACGCUCAUGCACGAAAGCGUGGGUAGCGAACAGGAUUAGAUACCCCAG